Molecule: long non-coding RNA, 579 nt
Filed under: Nicotiana benthamiana
Lineage: Eukaryota; Viridiplantae; Streptophyta; Magnoliopsida; Solanales; Solanaceae
Description: long non-coding RNA (NBEN_LNC026697)
Source: RNAcentral
UCAAGCUAUUUCAUCUAUUUAAUUUCCUUUCCGAUUCAUCAUCAACUUGAUAUCCCUUUUUGUUGUAGCACCACAAUGGCUCAACCCGGGUUCACCACACGAGACUCAAACAUAAGACCACACUAUGUAAGACCCAUAGGCCACUGAAUACUCUCUCCAAUAUUCCCAGAAAUACCACAUCCCAAAACACUUUAUCUUGAAGAACUUCCCGUGAAUCUGAAUUUGUUACCACUAAUUUCCAGAUACCGAUACAUAGGGUCCCAUAAUCAACAUAAAAAUACCACAAGUCUUGACCUUUUCCAAUGAAAACACAGUCUCUACCCACUUACGCAACCUCAAGACACCUGAUUGUUACAUGUAGAAUCUUGAACAGAAUAAAACCAUUCUUGAGAAUCAUUCCCUCUUAUUCAAACUACAAAUUCCAUGACUUAACGAACAAAACCACUCGUGCCUUAUUAGCCCUCUGACACCACAGGGUAUGAUCUCAUUUCAAUACAAACAAACAUCUUCAUUUUCUAUACACUGAGCAUUUUUUAUCUAUGACAGCCCAAGCCAUCCUAUUAUUUUCACACAUCUACG